AACACUGUUAACCUGCGGUACCUGCGGAAGGAUCAUUACUGAAUAAACUUGGUCAAGCUGUUGCUGGUCCUUCGGGACAUGUGCACGCUUGCCACCAAUUUUAACCACCUGUGCACUUUUUGUAGACUUGGAAACGUUUCUCGAGGCAACUCGGAUUGAGAACUGCUGGCGCAAGUCGGCUUUUCUUAUGUUUUCUCAGUCUAUGUUUUCAUAUACACCUAAUGUAUGUAUCAGAAUGUA
RNAcentral lists this unclassified non-coding RNA (240 nucleotides) under soil metagenome. RNAcentral's name for it is "partial contains 5.8S ribosomal RNA, internal transcribed spacer 2, and large subunit ribosomal RNA". The record is from RNAcentral.